This is a long non-coding RNA of Erigeron canadensis, 584 nucleotides long. RefSeq lists it as uncharacterized. The record is from RefSeq and is a predicted model, not a curated record. The transcript is spliced from 2 exons. Lineage: Eukaryota; Viridiplantae; Streptophyta; Magnoliopsida; Asterales; Asteraceae.
AUCCAGCUUUUUCAUUUCCCUUUCACAUCCUCACAUACAUAUACAUACAUAUAUCCUAUUGAGUAGUACGUUCCGUGCAAUUUUGAGUGUGUUGCAAGGGGCCCGAAACCAACAAAAUGAUCACCUAUAUAUUCUAGUACCAUUUGAGUGGUUUACAUUUAUUUACGAAGUGACAGUGGAAUUGAAGGACAGAAGACAGAGAUGAUCGAAGUCCUACAGCUAGAAGUUUGAUUUUGGAGGUAGCCAGCUAGAUUGGAUUACUAACAUGUCAUUUUGUUUGAAUAUUGUAAAUAUUACGAGUACUAUAUAUGGAUCGACUCAACAUCUGUCAAAUGGUCCUUUUGAAACUCGUAUAUAUGAUAGAAACUGAUAGAGUUGUGCUUAAUUUAAAGAGUACGGUUAGUGUAUGUAGUAUGAAGAGACUAUUUAGCAAUGAAUAAAAUAAUGGCAAAAAGAACUGUAGUGGUCAGGACUCAAGAGGUCAAGUGACGUGCACCAUGUUCUCCAUGAAAAACCUUUAAACAGGUAGGCAAGUACGCACCAAGGUCUGUGUACGCCGCACUCUGUGAACAGUAGCCAACAAA